Molecule: ribosomal RNA, 2893 nt
Filed under: Ralstonia solanacearum
Lineage: Bacteria; Pseudomonadati; Pseudomonadota; Betaproteobacteria; Burkholderiales; Burkholderiaceae
Description: 23S ribosomal RNA
Rfam family: Bacterial large subunit ribosomal RNA
Source: RNAcentral
GUUAUAGGGUCAAGCGAAUAAGUGCAUGUGGUGGAUGCCUUGGCGAUCACAGGCGAUGAAGGACGUAGUAGCUUGCGAAAAGCUGCGGGGAGCUGGCAAACGAGCUUUGAUCCGCAGAUGUCCGAAUGGGGAAACCCGGCCCGUAUGGGUCAUCCCUUGCUGAAUACAUAGGCAAGGGAGGCGAACGCAGUGAACUGAAACAUCUAAGUAGCUGCAGGAAAAGAAAUCAACCGAGAUUCCCAAAGUAGUGGCGAGCGAAAUGGGAACAGCCUUGUACUCUUUAGCAGUAUUGUUAGCGGAACGGAAUGGAAAGUCCGGCCAUAGUGGGUGAUAGCCCCGUACGCGAAAACAGUAUUGUGGAACUAGGUGUACGACAAGUAGGGCGGGACACGUGAAAUCCUGUCUGAAGAUGGGGGGGACCAUCCUCCAAGGCUAAAUACUCGUGAUCGACCGAUAGUGAACCAGUACCGUGAGGGAAAGGCGAAAAGAACCCCGGGAGGGGAGUGAAAUAGAUCCUGAAACCGCAUGCAUACAAACAGUCGGAGCCUGGAAACGGGUGACGGCGUACCUUUUGUAUAAUGGGUCAGCGACUUACAUUCAGUGGCAAGCUUAACCGAUUAGGGAAGGCGUAGCGAAAGCGAGUCCGAAUAGGGCGUUCAGUCGCUGGGUGUAGACCCGAAACCAAGUGAUCUAUCCAUGGCCAGGUUGAAGGUGCGGUAACACGUACUGGAGGACCGAACCCACUAACGUUGAAAAGUUAGGGGAUGAGCUGUGGAUAGGGGUGAAAGGCUAAACAAACUUGGAAAUAGCUGGUUCUCUCCGAAAACUAUUUAGGUAGUGCCUCGUGUCUCACCUUCGGGGGUAGAGCACUGUCAUGGUUGGGGGGUCUAUUGCUGAUUACCCCGCCAUAGCAAACUCCGAAUACCGAAGAGUGCAAUCACGGGAGACAGACAUCGGGUGCUAACGUCCGGUGUCAAGAGGGAAACAACCCAGACCGCCAGCUAAGGUCCCUAAGAUUGGCUAAGUGGGAAACGAAGUGGGAAGGCUAAAACAGUCAGGAGGUUGGCUUAGAAGCAGCCACCCUUUAAAGAAAGCGUAAUAGCUCACUGAUCGAGUCGUCCUGCGCGGAAGAUGUAACGGGGCUAAGCCAGUCACCGAAGCUGCGGAUGCACGUAAGUGCAUGGUAGGAGAGCGUUCUGUAAGCCUGUGAAGGUGUCUUGUAAAGGAUGCUGGAGGUAUCAGAAGUGCGAAUGCUGACAUGAGUAGCGAUAAAGGGGGUGAAAGGCCCCCUCGCCGUAAGCCCAAGGUUUCCUACGCAACGUUCAUCGGCGUAGGGUGAGUCGGCCCCUAAGGCGAGGCAGAGAUGCGUAGCUGAUGGGAAGCAGGUUAAUAUUCCUGCACCGUCGUAUGAUGCGAUGGGGGGACGGAUCGCGGAAGGUUGUCCGGGUGUUGGAAGUCCCGGUCCCUACAUUGGAGAUGGCACUUAGGCAAAUCCGGGUGCGUGAUUCAAGGGUGUGGGGCGAGCGACGUUAGGUCGCGAAGCAAUUGGAAGUGGUUCCAAGAAAAGCCUCUAAGCUUCAGUCAUACGAGACCGUACCGCAAACCGACACAGGUGGGCGAGAUGAGUAUUCUAAGGCGCUUGAGAGAACUCGGGAGAAGGAACUCGGCAAAUUGGUACCGUAACUUCGGGAUAAGGUACGCCCUUGUAGUUUGACUGGCUCGCGCCAGAAGGAUGAAGGGGUUGCAAUAAAAUGGUGGCUGCGACUGUUUAAUAAAAACACAGCACUCUGCAAACACGAAAGUGGACGUAUAGGGUGUGACGCCUGCCCGGUGCCGGAAGAUUAAAUGAUGGGGUGCAAGCUCUUGAUUGAAGUCCCGGUAAACGGCGGCCGUAACUAUAACGGUCCUAAGGUAGCGAAAUUCCUUGUCGGGUAAGUUCCGACCUGCACGAAUGGCGUAACGAUGGCCACACUGUCUCCUCCCGAGACUCAGCGAAGUUGAAGUGUUUGUGAUGAUGCAAUCUCCCCGCGGCUAGACGGAAAGACCCCAUGAACCUUUACUGUAGCUUUGCAUUGGACUUUGAACCGAUCUGUGUAGGAUAGGUGGGAGGCUUUGAAACCGGGACGCUAGUUUCGGUGGAGCCGACCUUGAAAUACCACCCUGGUUUGUUUGAGGUUCUAACCUUGGCCCGUGAAUCCGGGUCGGGGACAGUGCAUGGUAGGCAGUUUGACUGGGGCGGUCUCCUCCCAAAGUGUAACGGAGGAGUUCGAAGGUACGCUUGGUACGGUCGGACAUCGUACCUAAAGUGCAAUGGCAAAAGCGUGCUUAACUGCGAGACCGACAAGUCGAGCAGGUGCGAAAGCAGGACAUAGUGAUCCGGUGGUUCUGUAUGGAAGGGCCAUCGCUCAACGGAUAAAAGGUACUCUGGGGAUAACAGGCUGAUACCGCCCAAGAGUUCAUAUCGACGGCGGUGUUUGGCACCUCGAUGUCGGCUCAUCUCAUCCUGGGGCUGUAGCCGGUCCCAAGGGUAUGGCUGUUCGCCAUUUAAAGAGGUACGUGAGCUGGGUUUAAAACGUCGUGAGACAGUUUGGUCCCUAUCUGCCGUGGGCGUUGGAAUCUUGACGGGGGCUGCUCCUAGUACGAGAGGACCGGAGUGGACGUACCGCUGGUGUACCUGUUGUCUCGCCAGAGGCAUCGCAGGGUAGCUAUGUACGGAAGAGAUAACCGCUGAAAGCAUCUAAGCGGGAAACUCGCCUGAAGAUGAGGAUUCCCUGGAGACUUGAUCUCCCUGAAGGGUCGUUCGAGACCAGGACGUUGAUAGGCUGGGUGUGGAAGCGCAGUAAUGCGUUCAGCUAACCAGUACUAAUUGCCCGUGCGGCUUGAUCCUAUAACC